UGGGGAAUAUUGCACAAUGGGCGCAAGCCUGAUGCAGCCAUGCCGCGUGUAUGAAGAAGGCCUUCGGGUUGUAAAGUACUUUCAGUCGGGAGGAAGGUGGUAAGGUUAAUAACCUUGGCAAUUGACGUUACCGACAGAAGAAGCACCGGCUAACUCCGUGCCAGCAGCCGCGGUAAUACGGAGGGUGCAAGCGUUAAUCGGAAUUACUGGGCAUAAAGCGCACGCAGGCGGUUGAUUGAGUCAGAUGUGAAAUCCCCGGGCUUAACCCGGGAAUUGCAUCUGAUACUGGUCAGCUAGAGUCUUGUAGAGGGGGGUAGAAUUCCAUGUGUAGCGGUGAAAUGCGUAGAGAUGUGGAGGAAUACCGGUGGCGAAGGCGGCCCCCUGGACAAAGACUGACGCUCAGGUGCGAAAGCGUGGGGAGCAAACAGG
Molecule: ribosomal RNA, 429 nt
Filed under: Chloroflexota bacterium
Lineage: Bacteria; Bacillati; Chloroflexota
Description: Chloroflexi bacterium partial 16S ribosomal RNA
Rfam family: Bacterial small subunit ribosomal RNA
Source: RNAcentral